UUUACAGUAACCACGUCAAAUCUCUCAUAUAUCAAUCAAGUUGUCCUUACAGUAACCACCUCAAAUCUCUCAUACAUCAAUCAAGUUGUCCUUACAAUAACCACCUCAGAUCUCUCAUAUAUCCUCAGAUCUCUCAUAUAUCAAUCAAGUUGUGCUUCAUAAAUAAGACAAUUUUUCAAACCUGUACGAGUGCCCCUCUCCUCUUAGGUUUACACAAAACCGCACAUACAUAUGUACUAUACGAGAUUCCAUGUAUAUUGAUUUCAUUAGUAGCUUCUACUACAUCACGGACCAUGCAAGAAAUCCAUACAUUUGAGCAUGCUAGUCACUAAAAGUAUGUGAAGAUCAUCACCAAUACUAGAGUACAUGAGAACAUUAAUCUAUCCACUUGAAAUCAUAACUAAACAUACAUUUCAAAUUGCAUGAUCGCGGACCAAACACAACAGAAGAGACACACAUACAUAACUUAUCAAGUGUAACAUAGCAUGCAAGGAUCAUUUUCGGUACAUCUCAUGCAAAACUAAUUAUGAAGGACCAAAAUAAUCACAUUGCAUCAACUUUUGCUACUUGAUGGCACAUAACAGAAAAGCUAUUGCCUCUGCCUCCAUUACUAGUGCUUAUUGCUCAUCGAGCUUCUUGUGCUGGGAGAGAUCAAACCUAAUAACAAAUCAGAUUCAGUUAGCACAUGUCUGUACAAGUGCCAAGCACUUAUUGCUCAUGAUCUAAUCAAAUAAAUAUGCAUCAACAAUGCCAUCUCGCUGUGUGCUGCACAUACCACAUGGAAGGAAAAAUAGAGAUGAAUCAAAUUCAUCCCAAAACACAACCUGAGGUAUGCUUCUAUGCUGGAACUGGCAGAACUGCUAGCUAUUUUGUGGAUCAUCCUAACUCUAAUAAUGGAACAGAUUAUAAAACAUUAUUUAUCUUGUACAAAAAAACACUCUGGUGCAGAUUCUGUUCAUAGGUGAGAUUGGCAACUACUGGCGGAAUUAGGCAAUACAAAUAUUUACAUAUAAAGUUUGGAUAAACUUAGGUUAACAAGCAAAUGCAGAAUCAUAUUAGACAUCAAUCCUAUAAACCUUUGGGAUUUUCAAAUAGAUCAUCGUAUGUUCAAAUAAGAAAAUAGCCGUAUGAUCAAAUAGUAUCCCUCGAUGCAUCUGGACAGUUCUAUCACUCAAAAGCAGUCAUAAUUCAAGAAGAACAAUAGUAGCUAUAACUAGUUAACCACAUAGAUAGUACAAUAUUACACACACAACAAUGGCAAUUGUUCACAUGUGAAAGAAAAAUGUGCACCUAGAAAGUAUAGAAGGCAAAAUAGGAGCUACCUUGUGCAUAUUGGAAAUCAUGAAAUCACCAAGUUAGGUCAUCCUGUAAUUAAUCGUUGACCCUCAGGUCACAUUUUCGUUGACAAGAAGAUUUUUCGGCAAACAAGUGCGACUACUUUUCUUUUUCUGGAAGAAGACAUUCAGUUUUCUUUUGACUAUAAAGCUUGAACAGAAUGCAUCGAUCAUAUUAACCAAAAAAAUAGGCAUUCUCCAAAGCACCUACGGCCCUCCUCCUUAAAUCUACAACCCACACCAGUAAAUGGAUUUUAUUAGUUAUUGAUGCUUAGAGAAAAAAUAAUUUUCAAUGAGAAAAAUAAAAGGACCAUGGUCUUUUCCGCCCUUUCAAAGAGAGAGGAAUUUGUUAAAAUCUGCGAGCUCCAGGGUUCAAAUACAUGGAGAUCGACAGGAAGCACAAAAUGUAACAAUACUUUUGUCGAUUGACGGUCACUAGUCACCACUAUCAAACAACACUAGAGACCAGGCCGCCAACUAAGCAUAUGCUACCAUGCGAUACAACCUAAAGGGGGUACUGAGAGUCUCCUGAUACUGAGAGUCUAAAUGUGUUGUACACAAAAUCCAGAUACUGAGAGUCUUCUGAAACAUAUCAAAUUAAGGAAGUCAUCUCCAAUUGCCAGGUUGCAAAUUAGAAGGUACAGUCUUAUUUUACACGUGGAAGGUUACAAUGAAUGCAAACUGAAACAAGAAUGAUAUACUUCAACUUCUCGGUUAAAUAUAUACCCUAUUCUCUAACUAUUUUGGUCACGUGAAUUCGAUAUUUAAAAAUCUAAAACAACACAUGAACACACUGCUAGUCAUAUUCAAGUUUCUCAGCCUCUCACCAGAAUCUACUAUGUCCAUCUGGUUUUGCUCCAACUCUCUGUGCACUCCUUCGAAAAUUAAAGGAGUAAGCUUGUCCGUUUCAUCAAAUAUAGUUAAAACCACGGGUGAGGCGCUUUGGAGCUCAACCUCCAUUGAACCACUUUUUUUGGAAAAUACAAAAUGCAUAUUUAAAAGUAGAACGAAAUUCUGAACAAAAAUCUAACAUGUACGUAUACACUGCAUAUGUGUAAAUUUUCAAUAGAUGGAUAUGCUUCUUCUUGAACACAACACAGUACAAAAUAUGAGCUACAAUGACAAAUGUUGACAGACCCAUGUGUUUUUGGUUAGCAUACCACAACUAAGUCCUAUCAGUAAGCAUCAUGCUAUGUUUAAUCAUCAAAGAAUACCAGUGAAAGCCAUCCACGUCAUCACAGGAGAGGGAAGCUACCAUUAGAGAUAAAUCUAUAGGAGGGAGAGGGGAGAGGGGAGUGGGAGAAACGCAGCUGACCUAGCUGCUGAUCCUGCGAGGUGAAGGAGGCGAGGAGAUCGAGCACCACCGGCUUGCCUCCGGUGAGAUAUUAUUGGAUCUAGGAGCACCGGGGAGGAGACCGUGGCAGCAUCACGGCGCACUAGACCAGUACCAGGUUGCCUCCAGAUCUAGAAUAUGCAGCUGAGCGGGCGGACCGCCCGCGGCCACCAGGGAGGAGGAGACCGUGGCGGCAGCGGUGGCCCGGUCGCUGACGACGAUGCGCAGCGUGAUGUUGCCCUGGGGACGGCCCCAAGAGACAUGGAUGCCGGAGUAGAAGGGGACGAGGCAGGGAGCAGGUGCCGUGGGAGUAGCUGUCGUCGACCAGGGAAGCACCGGAUCUGCCUGGCCGCCGCCCCCGUCGACGAGGGAUUGUUGGGGAACGGUGAAGCGAGCGACAGAGAGAGUCUGUUUGAAGGGGAGGGACCUGACGCAAAUUACUGGGAGCACAGGGACAUAUUUGCACAGAGUUGUGUCGUUAUGAAUACAGAUCUAUCCUCAUGAAUCAGUAGCGUACAUCAAUGAUCCAACAGCCCAGGAUCUUUUUUCUAUUCUUUCACCGUAUGCCUAGAUUCUAUACUAGCCCCAUCCGCCAAGGGUGGAAGCACACGGGAAAUUUGUUAUAUUAUUAUACUAUUUUUAGCGGAUCAAUGUGUGGUAAUUUCUAAGUCUUUU
This 3342-nucleotide long non-coding RNA is filed under the name Triticum aestivum (bread wheat). RNAcentral describes it as "long non-coding RNA (TAES_LNC004272)". Lineage: Eukaryota; Viridiplantae; Streptophyta; Magnoliopsida; Poales; Poaceae. The record is from RNAcentral.